UUUUGGACAAUGGGCGCAAGCCUGAUCCAGCCAUGCCGCGUGAGUGAAGAAGGCCUUCGGGUUGUAAGGCUCUUUCGCCCCCCCCCCAAAUCGCAUUCUCUAAUACAGGAUGUGGAUGACGGUACCCGAAUAAGAAGCACCGGCUAACUACGUGCCAGCAGCCGCGGUAAUACGUAGGGUGCGAGCGUUAAUCGGAAUUACUGGGCGUAAAGCGUGCGCAGGCGGUUUUGUAAGUCAGAUGUGAAAUCCCCGGGCUCACCCCGCCCCCCCCCACUUGAGACUGCAAGGCUAGAGUGUGGCAGAGGGGGGUAGAAUUCCACGUGUAGCAGUGAAAUGCGUAGAGAUGUGGAGGAAUACCGAUGGCGAAGGCAGCCCCCUGGGCCAAUACUGACGCUCAUGCACGAAA
This 406-nucleotide ribosomal RNA is filed under the name uncultured bacterium. Its description in RNAcentral is "partial 16S ribosomal RNA". It matches the Rfam family "Bacterial small subunit ribosomal RNA", at positions 362 to 758 of the family's 1533-position model. The record is from RNAcentral.